CAGAGCUGUGGAGUGUGACAAUGGUGUUUGUUUCCUGCCUAUCAAACGCCAUUAUCACACUAAAUAGCUACAG
Oryzias latipes (Japanese medaka) is the source of this 73-nucleotide non-coding RNA. Lineage: Eukaryota; Metazoa; Chordata; Actinopteri; Beloniformes; Adrianichthyidae. The record is from Rfam.